This 593-nucleotide ribosomal RNA is filed under the name uncultured bacterium. Its description in RNAcentral is "partial 16S ribosomal RNA". It matches the Rfam family "Bacterial small subunit ribosomal RNA", at positions 355 to 939 of the family's 1533-position model. The record is from RNAcentral.
UAGGGAAUAUUGGACAAUGGGCGCAAGCCUGAUCCAGCCAUGCCGCGUGAGUGAAGAAGGCCCUCGGGUUGUAAAGCUCUUUUGUCCGGAAAGAAAAGCAUCGGGCUAAUACCCUGGUGUUCUGACGGUACCGGAAGAAUAAGCACCGGCUAACUUCGUGCCAGCAGCCGCGGUAAUACGAAGGGUGCAAGCGUUACUCGGAAUUACUGGGCGUAAAGCGUGCGUAGGUGGUUUGUUAAGUCUGAUGUGAAAGCCCUGGGCUCAACCUGGGAAUGGCAUUGGAAACUGGCGGACUCGAGUGCGGUAGAGGGGUGUGGAAUUCCCGGUGUAGCAGUGAAAUGCGUAGAGAUCGGGAGGAACACCAGUGGCGAAGGCGACACCCUGGACCAGCACUGACACUGAGGCACGAAAGCGUGGGGAGCAAACAGGAUUAGAUACCCUGGUAGUCCACGCCCUAAAACGAUGCGAACUGGAUGUUGGGUGCAACUUGGCACUCAGUAUCGAAGCUAACGCGUUAAGUUCGCCGCCUGGGGAGUACGGUCGCAAGACUGAAAACUCAAAAUGAAAUUGACGGGGGUCAUAGCUGUUUUCCU